This 503-nucleotide ribosomal RNA is filed under the name Picocystis salinarum. RNAcentral describes it as "partial Bacterial large subunit ribosomal RNA". It matches the Rfam family "Bacterial large subunit ribosomal RNA", at positions 1321 to 1718 of the family's 2925-position model. The record is from RNAcentral. Lineage: Eukaryota; Viridiplantae; Chlorophyta; Picocystophyceae; Picocystales; Picocystaceae.
GUGAGAAACCCGUCCACCGGAUGACCAAGGGUUCCAGGGCUAGGCUAAUCCGCCCUGGGUAAGUCGGGACCUAAGGCGAGGCCGACAGGCGUAGUCGAUGGGUAACCAGUUGAUAUUCUGGUACCGGCUUGUCACCGUCCGUGUCGAGGUGUGUGAUGCUAAGCAUGUGAGCUUGUCUUGGGAGUGUUUUUGAUGCUUCUGGGGUGGGUGAGUGUGUGAACCGAUCAUGUAGUAGGCAAGCUGCGGAGGGACGCAGUGAGGUAGCUCAUCCCCGGUGAUGGUUGUCCGGGGCUAAGUGUGUGGACUGUCUGGUAGGUAAAUCCGCUGGGCGUGAAGGUUGAGGCAUGAUGGGGAGCCCACGGUUGUGGGUGAGUGAGUGAUCCUGUACUGUCGAGAAAAGCUUCGUGAGCGAGGUGGCGGGUCCGCCCGUACCCUAAACCGACACUGGUGGAUUGGUAGAGUAUACCGAGGCGAUCGAGAGAAUCAUGGUGAAGGAACUCGGC